GACGAACGCUGGCGGCGUGCUUAACACAUGCAAGUCGAACGAAGUGGCGAACGGGUGAGUAAUACGUGGGUAACCUGCCCUCCUUUUUGGGAUAAGCCUUGGAAACGGGGUCUAAUACCGAAUAAAGGGGGAUGGGCUCGCGGCCUAUCAGCUUGUUGGUGGGGUGAUGGCCUACCAAGGCGGUGACGGGUAGCCGGCCUGAGAGGGGGACCGGCCACAUUGGGACUGAGAGACGGCCAAGACGCCUACGGGAGGCAGCAGGGGGGGAUAUGGCACAAUGGGCGAAAGCCUGAUGCAGCGACGCCGCGUGGGGGAUGAAGGCUUUCGGGUUGUAAAGUUCUGUGAUUCGGGACGCGGUACCUAAAAAGCAAGCCACGGCUAACUACGUGCCAGCCGCCGCGGUAAUUC
This 408-nucleotide ribosomal RNA is filed under the name uncultured bacterium. RNAcentral's name for it is "partial 16S ribosomal RNA". It matches the Rfam family "Bacterial small subunit ribosomal RNA", at positions 28 to 526 of the family's 1533-position model. The record is from RNAcentral.